AAAUUGAAGAGUUUGAUCAUGGCUCAGAUUGAACGCUGGCGGCAGGCCUAACACAUGCAAGUCGAACGGUAACAGGAAACAGCUUGCUGUUUCGCUGACGAGUGGCGGACGGGUGAGUAAUGUCUGGGAAACUGCCUGAUGGAGGGGGAUAACUACUGGAAACGGUAGCUAAUACCGCAUAACGUCGCAAGACCAAAGAGGGGGACCUUCGGGCCUCUUGCCAUCGGAUGUGCCCAGAUGGGAUUAGCUGGUAGGUGGGGUAACGGCUCACCUAGGCGACGAUCCCUAGCUGGUCUGAGAGGAUGACCAGCCACACUGGAACUGAGACACGGUCCAGACUCCUACGGGAGGCAGCAGUGGGGAAUAUUGCACAAUGGGCGCAAGCCUGAUGCAGCCAUGCCGCGUGUAUGAAGAAGGCCUUCGGGUUGUAAAGUACUUUCAGCGGGGAGGAAGGGAGUAAAGUUAAUACCUUU
Molecule: ribosomal RNA, 473 nt
Filed under: Escherichia coli
Lineage: Bacteria; Pseudomonadati; Pseudomonadota; Gammaproteobacteria; Enterobacterales; Enterobacteriaceae
Description: bacterial SSU rRNA
Rfam family: Bacterial small subunit ribosomal RNA
Source: RNAcentral